This 5710-nucleotide ribosomal RNA is filed under the name Triticum aestivum (bread wheat). RNAcentral describes it as "partial small subunit ribosomal RNA". The record is from RNAcentral. Lineage: Eukaryota; Viridiplantae; Streptophyta; Magnoliopsida; Poales; Poaceae.
CCACCUCCCUCCACCGCGCGCCGCCCCUCUCCUUCCCCGCGCUGGCUACCUCCCUGCCCCUCGCGCCGAACGCCUCUCUCCACCGUGCGCCACCCUCCUCCUUCCCCCGCGCCGGCCACCUCCCUCUCCCGCGCGCCGGAGGCCGCCUCCUUUCCCCGACCCUCCGGACGCCGCCUCCUUCCCAGAUCCCGGCACCGCCCUGCAACACAACCGGCGCCACGGCUGUUGCCCCGCACCAUAUUCAUGCGCUGCUACCGCUCUACCACCGUGUACAGGCAGUUCAACGCUCCAACCACACGCCGUUCAAUCUCUCCAGCGUGGACACGCCAUUCCACCUCCUUCUAGUUGCCUCUCAUCCCGGUAUGGCCAGGGCGUUGGGUUCGCCGCCGCUGCGACCAGCAGUCCAACCCGGCCGCCCCAGGCCGUUCACCGUCGCAGCUCCCAGGCCGACUGUGUCGAGCCACCUUCCGCCCGCACCUUGGGCUCCCGUAUGCGUCCCCUGCCCAAGCUGGUGCACACGUCCCUGCCCACCGUCCCUCCUCUUUGUUCUUCACUACAUAAGGUUUUUUUGAGUGCACGCCAUGUGUUUGCUAAAAUGCCUCAGUGCACUCGCCUACUAGUUUUGAUGUGUUCAUGUUCGUUUGUAGCUAAUGUAAAAUCAGCUUUCUCUUGAGGCAGGGACAAAGAAGUGAGCCAAAAAGAUGAAUGACAGUUUGUUCACAAGGUCAUCUGCUCAACAAGAGAAGCAUGUACUGCUCAGUACAUGUAUAACUAAUGGGAAGGUUCAAAAACCAGAACUCAUCAAGUUCAACGUUGAUGGUACUGUGCACAUGCAAAAUUAGAUCAAUAGUAUUGUUGAACAAUUCCUACUCCUCAACUCCAGCGUCCUCCCUCCAUCCCGCACUGCCGCCUCGCCACCUCGCUCAACCUUGCCAACGUCCUACCAUCCCUGGGAAUGCUAAAAGGAGGGUAUGUUUUCCAAGCUGACAUCUGCAAGCCCUCAUUAGGACAAGCAAAGUGCAGAAAUAAGUUCUGACCCUGAAAACUGCAGAGUUGGACUUCCUCGUAUUCAAGUGCUCGCAACUAAGCUUCACUUCUGGUUUGUUUGAAUUAACUGGUCCAGACGUCUCAAGCUGCUAAGGCCUACAUCUCCCUGCCAAUGUCUCAUCGCCUGUGCCGACAUGGUCGUGGUAAGUUCGUUGGCGUAGUUCCUAUGCUUUGAUGAGGUCAAGCCCACUGUCGUAUUAGUCGCCACAACCUCAUAUCGUUGCCGCCAAGGUUUCCCCUCGCUCUCUCCCCUGAAUUCUCUUGAAGAACAUCCAUUUAUCUCGCUGAAUUCUUGAUAGCAUGUUCUAAAUAAGCUUGUAUUCACUCCCUAAGUACUCCUAAAAAGCACUUUUAUUCUAAUUAUACGAAUUUUAUACUUAUGGGAUGUUCAAAUAAACCAGUACACACGUGUGGUGCCGUCUAUAUAAUUAUGUAAAGAAGAUCUAUAUGUGUAAGUUAUCUGAUAAAAGAAAGAGGAAAAUCAACUUGCAAAUUUAGGGAAACAUGUGUACCUUGAGAAAAGUUCACAGAAUAAAUGCUAGGAGGGUCAUUUUGUGUUUGUUUAAAUGUCUUCAGUGCAAGUGUGGAGGGCCGGUAAGUUCUACUACCAGUCUAAGCCAAGUUCAGGAGCAUUGCCACUGAUGGCAAGGACAACGAACCAACGACAUCGGAUCAUAGGUCGAAGGAGUCUGGGUCAAGGCGCCAUGACUGGUUAUUGUUGUAUGCUGGUGUCGUGCUUGUUGAUGCGGACUAGCAGAUCAAUGUAUAUGCAUGUUGUUUGCUUUUGACAUGGUAUAUAUAAACUAUUGGUACAAAUUCUAGUACCUAUAUCACAAAAGUUCAUUGCGAAAAAAAAUAUCAGUUCAAUGGAUACAUUGUAUCUGUUUAUCACAUAUACUUGCGAAAGAGUUCAAAAUGUUCUUCCCUUUCUGGAAAUUACAUGUGAUUAUUCAUUUCUUUUUGGGCCAUACAAACAACAAUAACUCAUUAGGCUUGUAUGGCUGAAUUUCUAUUCAUUUGCUCGUAUGACUGGAAUGCAUCUUUGCUUGUAUUAUCUCUUGUAACACUAAGAUUUUUUUAUGUUGUCAUGUCUUUAGGAGCGCCCCGGCCGAUCACAGCCACCACCACAGGCCGUUCAACGCCACCUCCGAGGAAAACCAUAUCCAAAAAACAGAGUAAAGUCCAAUAUGUGAAAAUAGCUCAGUACAAACACACAAAUGGAUCAGUACGAGUACUCUGUUUUUCGUCGAAAUACUAUUGUUUGAACUGAAUCAUCUGAAUUGAAGCACAGUGGCAUCAAAACCAAAUAAUUUCCAUAUCAAGGUUCAGUGUGGAUUUUACACUUAUGAAAUGAUUUUCACCCUAACAAACUAGCUUCAAACAACCUUUUAGCAUAAUGUCGUGCCUGUUGAACACCUACUGAUUUGAUUCAGCAACUUCUACUGAUGUCUAUAAUCGUACAACAGUUUGGAUUCCUAACUGAAACAGAUUAGCAGCAAAAGUUUCAGCAAACAAUCUGUUUUUUAGAUUGCUAAAAAGAAACCCAAAACAUCCGGACAAGUUGACUACUACAAAUAAGAGUUUCUUGCCAAAGGGAAGAGUUAGGAAGUGGAGGGGCUCUCACGAGGUGUCCCGGCGGCGACGACGAUGACGUGGAGGCUCUGGCUAUUGUUGGGCAGCAUUAACAUUUUGAUAGUCCUUCUGCAGGGCCCAAACCCACUAUCGUGCAGAAAAAGAAAGCAAAGCCCCAACCAUCAGCUGCUCAAUCAUCAGGGUCUGAUGGCCGAUGGAGAAGCGAAGCGAAAGACGGUUAGGAAGCGCAAGAGAAGUGGCAAAGACAUCAGGUCCAUGUGUAUUUAACAGCAAGUCCAUGUAUUACUACAUGAGAAGUACUGCUAUUCCCUCACUGGAUUUGCAGGCUCACGACCAUCCUCUAACACCCCGUCAGUGCCACCUAUUUGAAGGAGCUCCGUGAGCGUGUACUUCUCCUGUUCGACCUCGACGCUUGUGGCAGUCCCACAAGGACGAGUGUGGUCUACGAUCGACCAGUUGGUUCCCAAGCGAGUUCCUGGCUGAAGGUGGGCUUCCAUGUUGAGGUGUGGAACGCAAUGUACAUGGAGAUCUUGAUGGAGUACGAUGAUGGCGAUGUGGCGCAGGUGGACCUCAUGGAGUUCGGCUGGGCUGGCGGCGGUGGACGCGGAUGCAUGAGUUGUGGGGCUCCAUCUGUCGCUCGACCACCGCUUACUCCCACUCUGUUCACUGGUUUUGUUUUCACUGUCACGCCUGUUCCUCGUCAACCUGCAGCAGCAGGAGACAUGAGAUCACCUCCGGCACCGCUGGUCACAUGAAGGCCGUCAAAAAUGAAGAUGGUGAACUAUGGGAGUACAUCAAGGUCGAAAAAGCCCUUCAUCUGCAUCCAUCUGCGGGAGGAACACUGCUUUGACAUCAGGAACAUUUUCCUCCACUAGAGCCACUGCGGCCUACGGCAGCCCAUGGUGGCGGAGUUCGUCGCGUCCAUCAGUCCAACCCCAUGGCUUCAGGGCAUCCGAGUUUUGUCGCGGCCAUCAGUUCGGACACCUGCGUCACUGCGUGUGUUGCAGCCACACCCAUUUGUGUCACUGCGUGCUCCGUCACCGGCCUCCUGCGCGCCGUGACCCCUGCCACACUCCUUCCUCUCCCUGAAGCUGUUCGUGCCCUCCCAGGCUUGAUAUCCUGCUGUAGCGAUGAGCUCCUGUACAUCGCCGAAGUUCCAUACCUGCUCAACGGCACCAGCACGAGGAUGCAGCAGCUAGGCUGAACCCCAGUUUGUGCCUCAAGGUCAAGUACGCGUACGCCUGCGAGAAGGUUCUCCGGUGCGCCAAGUAUUGUUGGCAGCGAUGCCUGCUUACGUCUUCCUCGUAUGAUUCACCAAGGCCGCGUCCUCCUCUUGAGAUAAGAAGAGCGACAAGGAGAUGGAGAGCACGGUCUUUUUUCCGUGGAGCUGGCUGCUGCAGUACGGCCUAGUCCAGUCUAAGCCCUCCAUGGUUGCUGUUGCUAUUUCCGCAACCAGGCUACCCCGAAGAAGACCCCUAUGUGGACUGACAAUCUAAAUUAUAGUGUGUGUUCUUUAUUUAUAAUUGAAGUUCAAAAAUAUCAUUGGCAGGGGUACAGAAAUGAUUAUAGUCGUUAUAGCAAAAAAAAAGCGCAGAAACUUGAAGAACAAAAUUAUUGGUACACAUAAACAAAUUGGAUUUAUGUGUUAUGUAGUAUUGGUACUUAAGAACAAAAGUUCAGAUUUCAAACUUUCAAUAGUUUAAUGCUACGUAGAAAGGAACAUAAGUCCACCCUACAAAAAAACCCAGUAAAUGCAUUUCGGUUAUGAUCUAAAUUUCUUUUGGUCCAUCUCUUUUAGUCUCUAACAGAGAACUUCCGCUGAUAUUGUAAUAAUCGAUAGUUUUUUCAUCUUUAGCUCAUUAAGUGUUAAGAUUUCAAUGAAGUAAAAUGCUUCUAAGCUUUGGCCAUUUUGGUUAUUUUCAGGAUUUUCUAGAUCGGGGAAGGUGCGGAGCUUGCCUGAUUGCUUGCUACUUUGCAUGUUCUGUUUACCCACUAUGCAUGUGUUGAUGUUGCUGCUUCUAGGAGCCCUAAAUUUUGUACCACGCCGACAAGCCAGGCAGUCGGUCUUUGCAUCACGAACUGGUGCAGUUUGAUCUUGCGCAAGCGGGAAAUUCCCUGAUGCCGAGUGUAUCAGUACCACCCUACGCUCCAAGCAUGCCUCCUCCUGGUCGCCCAUCAGUUCUCUUGUUCUUGCUGCUUCUCCUAACAUCACCAUAAAAGUUUUGCUAGGAAAAAAAUGCGUGGAUAAAGAGGAUUGCAGUGACAGUAAUUUUGGUUGCCAUUUCUCUCUAUAGCAGAUCGCAUCCGUACAAAAAAUGCUACUGCAGUUUACUCUAUGUAAAAAAUUAAUAAGGUUCAAUUCACAAAAACAUGUGGAAGUUCGUUUGGAAAAUUCUGCAGCCUAUUUGAUUACGCCAAGAUGUACAGGAUGACAAUUCUUUAUUGUGUGCCUUCAGCACAAUUUAAAUUAACUAGUUGACCAUAUGUCUAAUGUUUUUCUUUUGUUUACAGAAAAACUAAUAUGUGAGGAUAUUUCAGGUUUCUUUGCGAACUUGUAGUGUUACUGUACAUGAACUUGUACAUUACCUUGUCAUCAGUUCAUGUGUAUGUGAUGGUAACCAAUUACCGUUGUAUUACUGCAGCUGCUCUAUGUAAUUAGCCCCUUUGUUGGGUGAAUCUCAUACUAUUUGCUAGCUUUGGCAUUGUAAAAACACAACAAGUUCACAAUUUAAAAGGUUGUAAGUUCAACAUGACGUAUAUAAGUUUGGGAAAAAAAGCUCAAACAAAAACAAACCUCAAAAAAAUUCAAAUGGUAAAAAUUUCAAGUCGUACAAUGAGAGAAGUCCAGAACAUCAUUGCAAAAAAAUGUUGAGUUAAAAAAACAAAAAAAAAUUCUUUUUGAGAAAAUAUCAAUCAGCUCAACGUUAUAAACCAUGCAAGUUCGAGGACAAUGAUAAUGUAAAGCCUUGGAAAUUAUGAGGAAAACCAUACUGAAAAAAAGAGUAGUCGAUUUUGUUAAAACACGCUCAGUACAAGCGCAUACGGACAUCAGUUCAAGUACUCUUUUUUG